RNAcentral lists this ribosomal RNA (584 nucleotides) under uncultured bacterium. Its description in RNAcentral is "bacterial SSU rRNA". The stretch from base 1 to 511 matches the Rfam family "Bacterial small subunit ribosomal RNA", at positions 338 to 873 of the family's 1533-position model. The record is from RNAcentral.
CCUACGGGAGGCAGCAGUGGGGAAUCUUGCGCAAUGGGCGAAAGCCUGACGCAGCCAUGCCGCGUGAAUGAUGAAGGUCUUAGGAUUGUAAAAUUCUUUCACCGGGGACGAUAACGACGGUACCCGGAGAAGAAGCCCCGGCUAACUUCGUGCCAGCAGCCGCGGUAAUACGAAGGGGGCUAGCGUUGCUCGGAAUUACUGGGCGUAAAGGGAGCGUAGGCGGAUAGUUUAGUCAGAGGUGAAAGCCCAGGGCUCAACCUUGGAAUUGCCUUUGAUACUGGCUAUCUUGAGUGUGGGAGAGGUAUGUGGAACUCCGAGUGUAGAGGUGAAAUUCGUAGAUAUUCGGAAGAACACCAGUGGCGAAGGCGACAUACUGGCCCAUUACUGACGCUGAGGCUCGAAAGCGUGGGGAGCAAACAGGAUUAGAUACCCUGGUAGUCCACGCUGUAAACGAUGAGUGCUAGUUGUCGGCAUGCAUGCAUGUCGUGCGCACUACGCAUANCACNCCGCCGUCGGGAGGUACGGUCGCAGAUAACUACAANAGAUAGACGCGUGAGAGNGCGACGACGACGACGAGGGAGAGG